This 253-nucleotide ribosomal RNA is filed under the name uncultured bacterium. RNAcentral describes it as "partial 16S ribosomal RNA". It matches the Rfam family "Bacterial small subunit ribosomal RNA", at positions 524 to 776 of the family's 1533-position model. The record is from RNAcentral.
UACGUAGGGUGCAGGCGUUAAUCGGAAUUACUGGGCGUAAAGCGUGCGCAGGCGGUUUACUAAGACAGGUGUGAAAUCCCCGGGCUUAACCUGGGAACUGCGCUUGUUACUGGCAGGCUUGAGUGUGGCAGAGGGGGGUGGAAUUCCACGUGUAGCAGUGAAAUGCGUAGAGAUGUGGAGGAACACCGAUGGCGAAGGCAGCCCCCUGGGCUAACACUGACGCUCAUGCACGAAAGCGUGGGGAGCAAACAGG